GGGGAAUUUUCCGCAAUGGGCGAAAGCCUGACGGAGCAAGACCGCGUGGGGGAUGAAGGUUUGUGGAUUGUAAACCCCUUUUGAUUGGGAAGAAUACUGACGGUACCAAUCGAAUAAGCCUCGGCUAACCCCGUGCCAGCAGCCGCGGUAAUACGGAGGAGGCAAGCGUUAUCCGGAAUUAUUGGGCGUAAAGCGUCCGUAGGUGGUUUAGUAAGUCUGCUGUUAAAGCGCGGGGCUUAACUCCGUAUCGGCAGUGGAAACUACUAGACUAGAGUGUGGUAGGGGUAGAGGGAAUUCCCAGUGUAGCGGUGAAAUGCGUAGAUAUUGGGAAGAACACCGGUGGCGAAAGCGCUCUACUGGGCCAUAACUGACACUGAUGGACGAAAGCUANGGGAGCGAAAGGGAUUAGAUACCCCUGUAGUC
Molecule: ribosomal RNA, 423 nt
Filed under: uncultured cyanobacterium
Lineage: Bacteria; Bacillati; Cyanobacteriota
Description: bacterial SSU rRNA
Rfam family: Bacterial small subunit ribosomal RNA
Source: RNAcentral